CCUGUAUUCCUUUUGCCUUUCCAAGGCGGCGGACAUCAACAAACAAUAUGCCGCCGUAUUAACCACGGUGGUCAGAGAGGCCGGCAUGGCUCUGGGGCCGGACAGCGACACGCCGGACUGGCGCCACAUUGUGGCCGACCCCGAGAAGGUGGUGAAGGACAUGGACGUCAUACGGGAGACGUUUUACACCAAGGUCCCCACCGCCCAUCUACGCGCCGCAGCACUGAGUUCUUGGCUGCGCUAUUGUUCCGGCGCAACGCUGGAGCACGCCGAGUGUCUUGAUCGCCCAACGAUUUCAGGCGACAAGGGACCUUGUGCAGCACACCAUAAAGGCGCACAAACGAAGCCGAUGUGGGGCGAGAGGAGAGAUCCGAUGACGAUGACGCCCCGGACGCCAUCAACCCCACGCGACGCCAGCUGCUCAACGUCCCCUCAACGUCCCGAACGCGGCGCCAGCUGAGGACGACGGCCGGCCGAUACCACGGCCACCACGGCCGACAAAGGUCGUGGUGGAGGGCCGAGGAGCUGGCGGUGGUCGCCGACUUCGCGGCGAACCCCUCCAAAAGGUUCCGCGACAUCGGGGAGCUGGCGGCGGCCCUGCCAGGACGCUCAUCAGGAGCAGCUUGGCUCAAAGUGAGCGAACUGAGGAACAAAAUGGGGCCAGUGUGAUGGCCGCCACCAUCAAAGCCGCCAUCGUCGCCGUCCCGGUCGUUUUGUACCUCACUGAGCCGCACGGGAAGUGUGAGAGACUGGGUGAGAGCGAGUGGGAGUGAGCGCGUGCUGCGCCGGCGGUGCGCGGGCGUCGUGACCUCCGAGUUUCUGUGGGCCGCGCCGGCGACUCGAGCUGUUCAUUCUUGUGUUUGUGAUAUGUUGUAGAGUGUGUGGUGGCGAUUUCGUGUCGCUAAGCUCGGCGAGCCGGGCGUCAGCGGUAGUUUUGUCUGCAUGUCUUGUGUUUGUCGGCGGUAAUUUUGAACCGCGGGCCCGCAGAGCUGGCGGGCAGGCGGGACAGUGAGCGACGAACGGACGGUCUGAACGGCGCAGCACGGACGCUGGGAUCUGCGACGUGUGGUCUUAGAGCGUAACGGUGGAUGUGUCAGUGUGAGUGCGUCCCCUGCACCGCGCCGGGGCGGUUCCAGCGCCACUCCGUGCUUGGCGUCGCAAGGCUCAGCGAGCCGGCCGCAGUGCACUCUUAGAGCUGUUUACGAGCCGCAGGGAGCAUAGCCCGGGCCACAUGCCACAAGGACCUAGG
Amphibalanus amphitrite is the source of this 1249-nucleotide long non-coding RNA. RefSeq lists it as uncharacterized. The record is from RefSeq and is a predicted model, not a curated record. The transcript is spliced from 3 exons. Lineage: Eukaryota; Metazoa; Arthropoda; Thecostraca; Balanomorpha; Balanidae.